UGGGGAAUUUUGGACAAUGGGCGAAAGCCUGAUCCAGCAAUGCCGCGUGUGUGAAGAAGGCCUUCGGGUUGUAAAGCACUUUUGUCCGGAAAGAAAUCCUUGGCUCUAAUACAGUCGGGGGAUGACGGUACCGGAAGAAUAAGCACCGGCUAACUACGUGCCAGCAGCCGCGGUAAUACGUAGGGUGCAAGCGUUAAUCGGAAUUACUGGGCGUAAAGCGUGCGCAGGCGGUUUGCUAAGACCGAUGUGAAAUCCCCGGGCUCAACCUGGGAACUGCAUUGGUGACUGGCAGGCUAGAGUAUGGCAGAGGGGGGUAGAAUUCCACGUGUAGCAGUGAAAUGCGUAGAGAUGUGGAGGAAUACCGAUGGCGAAGGCAGCCCCCUGGGCCAAUACUGACGCUCAUGCACGAAAAGCGUGGGGAGCAAACAGGAUUAGAUACCCCUGGUAGUCCACGCCCUAAACGAUGUCAACUAGUUGUUGGGGAUUCAUUUCCUUAGUAACGUAGCUAACGCGUGAAGUUGACCGCCUGGGGAGUACGGUCGCAAGAUUAAAACUCAAAGGAAUUGACGGGGUCAUAGCUGUUUCCU
RNAcentral lists this ribosomal RNA (587 nucleotides) under uncultured bacterium. RNAcentral's name for it is "partial 16S ribosomal RNA". It matches the Rfam family "Bacterial small subunit ribosomal RNA", at positions 355 to 1375 of the family's 1533-position model. The record is from RNAcentral.